GAAAGACUUGAAAGUCAAAAUUACUCCUUGCUCCAUGGGCUGAAGAUGGAUGUUGUUUUAGUGAGCAUGAAAACAACAUUAAUCUUCUUGUACAUCUCCAUUGGAGCUCUUGAGUGACCAGGUACAUCAUAAAUGAGCAGAAAUCUUUUUUUUUUUUCUCUCUGAACAGUAGGUCUCAACAGUGGGCUUAAAAUAUUCAGUCAACCAUGCUGUAAACAGAUGUGCUGUCCUUCAGGCUUUGUUUUUCCAUUUAUAGAGCAUAGGCAGAGUAGAUUUAGCAUCAUUCUUAAGGGCCCUAGGAUUUUCAGAAUGAUAAAUGAGCAUUUGCUCUGACUUAAAGUCAUCAGCUGCAUUAGCCCCUAGCAAGAGUCAGCUUGUCCUUUGAAGCUUUGAAGACAGGCAUUGGCUUUUCUCUAGACAUGAAAGCCCCAGAUGGCAUCUUCUUCCAAUAGAAGGCUGUUUUGUCUACAUGGAAAAUCUAUUGAUUAAUGUAGACAUUUUUAUCAAGGCCUGAGCUGGAUCUGGAUAACUCACUGCAGCUUCUCCAUCAGCACUUGCUGCUUCACCUUGCACUUUUAUAUUAUGCAGAUGACUUCUUUCCUUAAAUUUCACGAAACAAUCUCUGCUAGCUUCAAACUUUUCUUUAGCAGCUUUCUCACCUCUGUUAGCCUUCAUAGAAUUGAAAAGAGUUAGGGCUUUGCUCUGGAUUAGGCUUUGGCUUAAGGGAAUGUUGUGGCUGGUUUGAUCUUCUAUCCAGACCACUCAAACGUUCUCCAUGUCAGUAAUAAGUCUGUUCCACUUUCUUAUCAUUUGUGUUUUCAGUUGAGUAGCACUUCUAAUUUCUUCAAGAACUUUUCUUUUGAAUUCACAGCUUGGCAAAAGAAGCCUUGCUUUCAGUGUAUUUUGGCUUUUGAUGUGCCUUCCUCACUAAGUUUAUUCAUUUUUAGCUUUUUAUUUAAAGGGAGAGAUAUGUGACUCUUUCUUUCGCUUGAACACUUUGAGGCCAUUGCAGGGUUACUAAUUGGCCUGAUUUUAAUAUUGUUGUGUCUCAGAGAAUAGGGAGACCCAAGGCAGGAGAAAGAGAGAGAGAGAGAGAGAGAGACAGGGGAAUGUCUGGUCAGUGGGGUAGAUCACUAUAACAAAUAGAGUAACUACAAAACAUUUGAAAUACUGUGAGAAUUGCCAGUAUGUGACACAAAGACACAAAGGGAGCACACCCUGUUGGGAAAAUGGCACUGAUAGACUUGCUGAAGAUAAGGUUGCCACAAACCUUCAAUUUGUAAAAAGAAAAAUACUCAAUAGAAGAAGCCAAAACCCUGGCUGCAUCUACAGAGAAUUACAUACCCUCACUUUAUAUACAGAUACAAAUUCAAUAGAGGAAACAGCACCCAUGUAUGUCAACCGUGGCUCUCCUGUUUGGUUCACAUUGAGCAUGGGAAGACAGACAGUCAAUAGGCUAGUACAGCGGUGUGCAAGUGGUGGCCUGCAAAUCCUAAACAGGUGGGCAAACAAAUUUAGCAUAAUCUGUGAAAUGUGUUUUUACUGCACAGUAACAUACAGUCACUACAAUGACGUUAGCCAGGGGGUAGUGCCACCGGGUGUAGAGCUGUGUACAGCUUGCUGCCAAUACAUUAAAUACUAAAGGAGUUACACCUAAUACUAGAAUAUGGGUAGAUGCAUGUAAAUGUAUGGCCAGGGAAAUAAGCUGGUGAUACCCCCGAGAAAACUGUAGACACUUUUAUAGUUAAUGUGAGAUGUUGCUUU
RNAcentral lists this long non-coding RNA (1764 nucleotides) under Homo sapiens (human). Its description in RNAcentral is "HSALNT0032752". Lineage: Eukaryota; Metazoa; Chordata; Mammalia; Primates; Hominidae. The record is from RNAcentral.